RNAcentral lists this ribosomal RNA (550 nucleotides) under uncultured bacterium. RNAcentral's name for it is "bacterial SSU rRNA". It matches the Rfam family "Bacterial small subunit ribosomal RNA", at positions 355 to 896 of the family's 1533-position model. The record is from RNAcentral.
UAGGGAAUCUUCGGCAAUGGACGGAAGUCUGACCGAGCAACGCCGCGUGAGUGAAGAAGGUUUUCGGAUCGUAAAGCUCUGUUGUAAGAGAAGAACGAGUGUGAGAGUGGAAAGUUCACACUGUGACGGUAUCUUACCAGAAAGGGACGGCUAACUACGUGCCAGCAGCCGCGGUAAUACGUAGGUCCCGAGCGUUGUCCGGAUUUAUUGGGCGUAAAGCGAGCGCAGGCGGUUAGAUAAGUCUGAAGUUAAAGGCUGUGGCUUAACCAUAGUAGGCUUUGGAAACUGUUUAACUUGAGUGCAAGAGGGGGGAGUGGAAUUCCAUGUGUAGCGGUGAAAUGCGUAGAUAUAUGGAGGAACACCGGUGGCGAAAGCGGCUCUCUGGCUUGUAACUGACGCUGAGGCUCGAAAGCGUGGGGAGCAAACAGGAUUAGAUACCCUGGUAGUCCACGCUGUAAACGAUGAGUGCUAGGUGUUAGACCCUUUCCGGGGUUUAGUGCCGUAGCUAACGCAUUAAGCACUCCGCCUGGGGAGUACGACCGCAAGGUUG